RNAcentral lists this ribosomal RNA (460 nucleotides) under uncultured bacterium. RNAcentral's name for it is "partial 16S ribosomal RNA". It matches the Rfam family "Bacterial small subunit ribosomal RNA", at positions 338 to 795 of the family's 1533-position model. The record is from RNAcentral.
CCUACGGGAGGCAGCAGUGAGGAAUAUUGGUCAAUGGACGAGAGUCUGAACCAGCCAAGUAGCGUGAAGGAUGACUGCCCUAUGGGUUGUAAACUUCUUUUAUAUGGGAAUAAAAUGUUCCACGUGUGGGAUUUUGUAUGUACCAUAUGAAUAAGGAUCGGCUAACUCCGUGCCAGCAGCCGCGGUAAUACGGAGGAUCCGAGCGUUAUCCGGAUUUAUUGGGUUUAAAGGGAGCGUAGGUGGAUUGUUAAGUCAGUUGUGAAAGUUUGCGGCUCAACCGUAAAAUUGCAGUUGAAACUGGCAGUCUUGAGUACAGUAGAGGUGGGCGGAAUUCGUGGUGUAGCGGUGAAAUGCUUAGAUAUCACGAAGAACUCCGAUUGCGAAGGCAGCUCACUGGACUGCAACUGACACUGAGGCGCGAAAGCGUGGGGAGCAAACAGGAUUAGAUACCCCAGUAGUC